RNAcentral lists this ribosomal RNA (334 nucleotides) under uncultured Fastidiosipila sp. RNAcentral describes it as "bacterial SSU rRNA". It matches the Rfam family "Bacterial small subunit ribosomal RNA", at positions 1033 to 1382 of the family's 1533-position model. The record is from RNAcentral. Lineage: Bacteria; Bacillati; Bacillota; Clostridia; Eubacteriales; Oscillospiraceae.
CACAGGUGCUGCAUGGCUGUCGUCAGCUCGUGUCGUGAGAUGUCGGUUAAGUCCGCUAACGAGCGCAACCCUCGCUGUGUGUUAUAUGUGUCACACGGGACUGCCGGUCUUAAGCCGGAGGAAGGUGGGGAUGAUGUCAAGUCAGCAUGGCCUUUAUGUCCAGGGCUACACACACGCUACAAUGGUCAGCACAAUAGGUAGCCAAGCCGCGAGGUGGAGCCAAUCCUCAAAGCUGGCCUCAGUUCAGAUCGCAGGCUGCAACCCGCCUGCGUGAAGCCGGAGUUGCUAGUAACCGCAGGUCAGCUAUACUGCGGUGAAUACGUUCCCGGGGCUU